RNAcentral lists this ribosomal RNA (468 nucleotides) under uncultured bacterium. RNAcentral describes it as "partial 16S ribosomal RNA". It matches the Rfam family "Bacterial small subunit ribosomal RNA", at positions 28 to 507 of the family's 1533-position model. The record is from RNAcentral.
GACGAACGCUGGCGGCGUGCUUAACACAUGCAAGUCGAACGGAAAGGCCCUGCUUUUGUGGGGUGCUCGAGUGGCGAACGGGUGAGUAACACGUGAGUAACUUGCCCUUGACUUUGGGAUAACUUCAGGAAACUGGGGCUAAUACCGGAUAGGAGUUCCUGCUGCAUGGUGGGGGUUGGAAAGUUUCGGCGGUUGGGGAUGGACUCGCGGCUUAUCAGCUUGUUGGUGGGGUAGUGGCUUACCAAGGCUUUGACGGGUAGCCGGCCUGAGAGGGUGACCGGCCACAUUGGGACUGAGAUACGGCCCAGACUCCUACGGGAGGCAGCAGUGGGGAAUAUUGCACAAUGAGCGGAAGCCUGAUGCAGCAACGCCGCGUGCGGGAUGACGGCCUGCGGGUUGUGAACCGCUUUCGCCUGUGACGAAGCGUGAGUGACGGUAAUGGGUAAAGAAGCACCGGCUAACUACGUG